Molecule: ribosomal RNA, 396 nt
Filed under: uncultured bacterium
Lineage: Bacteria
Description: partial 16S ribosomal RNA
Rfam family: Bacterial small subunit ribosomal RNA
Source: RNAcentral
AUACGUAGGUGCCAAGCGUUAUCCGGAUUUACUGGGCGUAAAGGGCGUGUAGGCGGUCUUGCAAGUCAGAAGUGAAAUUCCUGAGCUCAACUCGGGCGCUGCUUCUGAAACUGCAGGACUUGAGUGCUGGAGGGGAUAGCGGAAUUCCUAGUGGAGCGGUAAAAUGCGCAGAUAUUAGGAAGAACACCGGUGGCGAAGGCGGGUAUCUGGACAGUAACUGGAGCUUAGGCGCGAAAGCGUGGGGAGCAAACAGGAUUAGAUACCCUGGUAGUCCACGCUGUAAACGAUGAUUAAUAGGUGUGGGGGGACUGACCCUUUCCGUGCCGCAGUUAACACAAUAAGUAAUCCACCUGGGGAGUACGGUCGCAAGGCUGAAACUCAAAUGAAUUGGCGGGG